GGCUCCAGGACACUUAUAACAGGGUGUCAGUCCAACGCAGAACAAACUACAGACAGUUUACUGACGCUAAUCAGCCUACAGUGUGUGUCUUUGGAUGGGAGGAGAACAAAGAAUAUCAGAGGAAAACACCGGAGGAAGGAUUAACACAAAGCCCCACCAGCAUAUGAUGACCCAGCACGUCGCUCUUCCUGCUAUACUAUUCUGAUGUUCUCCUGUGUUCCUGAGGUCUUUAAGGUAUCGUGUAGAGGAAGCCCAGCCGAGAAGCCUGAUUUCCACGGCCUUAUUCUUUCAGUCACACGGCUCUUGACAAGUCAACAGAGAUGUUCUCCUUCACCACCACAGACCACAACAUCAACUGAAACACUGCUGCUUUCUUUGUCUUGAUCUGUUCUCUUCUAAUCUCUCAGCAAUAAGGACUAAACUGUACUUCUUCAUGCCACUGGCAGCCGUAACCUCCAGGGAAUACAUUCGUACUUUUUUUUUUACACCAUAAUUGUGAAAGUAGGGCACCUUUAAAAAGACCGAACCAACAAACAGCAGCUCGUGACCAAAGAUUUUGGUGGAACAGGACCAGGAUGACUAGCAAUGACAAAGCAGUCUAAUAGAC
Long non-coding RNA from Tachysurus fulvidraco (yellow catfish), 607 nucleotides. RefSeq lists it as uncharacterized. The record is from RefSeq and is a predicted model, not a curated record. The transcript is spliced from 3 exons. Lineage: Eukaryota; Metazoa; Chordata; Actinopteri; Siluriformes; Bagridae.